Molecule: ribosomal RNA, 885 nt
Filed under: uncultured bacterium
Lineage: Bacteria
Description: bacterial SSU rRNA
Rfam family: Bacterial small subunit ribosomal RNA
Source: RNAcentral
UCGGGAUGCCGGUCGAAACUGCUGUGGCUAGGGUCCGGUAGAGGAGAGUGGAAUUCCCGGUGUAGCGGUGAAAUGCGCAGAUAUCGGGAGGAACACCAUUAGCGAAGGCGGCUCUCUGGGCCGGCACCGACGCUGAGGAGCGAAAGCUAGGGGAGCAAACAGGAUUAGAUACCCUGGUAGUCCUAGCCGUAAACGUUGGGCACUAGGCGUGGCGGACUCAUCGACGUCUGCCGCGCCGUAGCUAACGCAUUAAGUGCCCCGCCUGGGGAGUACGGUCGCAAGGCUAAAACUCAAAGGAAUUGACGGGGGCCCGCACAAGCGGCGGAGCAUGCGGCUUAAUUCGAUGCAACCCGAAGAACCUUACCUGGGCUUGACAUCAUGGGAAAAGCCGUGGAGACACGGUGUGCGGAAGCGUCCAUGACAGGUGGUGCAUGGCUGUCGUCAGCUCGCGUCGUGAGAUGUUGGGUUAAGUCCCGCAACGAGCGCAACCCCUGUCCUAUGUUGCCAGCGGAUAAUGCCGGGGACUCAUAGGAGACUGCCGGGGACAACUCGGAGGAAGGCGGGGACGACGUCAAGUCAUCAUGCCCCUUAUGUCCAGGGCUGCACGCAUGCUACAAUGGCGGGUACAACGGGCCGCGAUCCCGCGAGGGGGAGCCAAUCCCUCAAAGCCCGCCUCAGUUCGGAUUGGAGUCUGCAACUCGACUCCAUGAAGCCGGAGUCGCUAGUAAUCGUGGAUCAGCAAUGCCGCGGUGAAUACGUUCUCGGGCCUUGUACACACCGCCCGUCACAUCACGAAAGUCGGCAACGCCCGAAGUCAGUGGCCCAACCCUAUGGGAGGGAGCUGCCGAAGGUGGGGUCGGCGAUUGGGAUGAAGUCGUAACAAGG